UUCGGGUUCAGCCCAUAUAGUUGUGACAUUUAGUUGAGUAUGUAUGUAUUUGCCACUCUGCUGGGAGUUUGUGAAGACUGAGAUGCUGCGCUUUUCUUGGCAUGAGCCUGAUUUGCGGGAGCUUGCAUGGCAGUGUGUAAAUUAUACCUUCCCUGCUCCGAUCUGGCAUGCCGCCAGGCCCCCCAGGGCUGUGUUCUCUCCAUGAAGGGCAGUUGGUGAAAACAUUGCUGCUCUUGCUGUGGCAUGGGGUGCUUUAGCUUUUCCCUGGGCCUCCACAGGAGGAUCACCAACUGAGUGAAUGUGUUGAUGCCCUGGUCCACUGCUAGUAUUUGGAACAGGCAAAGAAAGAGAUAUAAAAUAAAUAACGGUAUGGAUUUUUUUCGAGAUUCACAACCACAGAAAUCCACAACAUCAAUAUUUUGAAAACCUUCCGUCUCCCACAAGUUCCUAGGGUUUUCUCUUACUGUUGCAUAUGUGUUUUCUUUCUCUCUGUGGGUUACCUUCUCCCUCUAGGGACUUUGCUGCCAUAACCAUCCUUCAGGGACUCUUUAGAACUUGGUCAACCCCGCUCCUUAGUGUGCCUGCAUGGAAAAUCACUGGAGAGCAACACAAAGUACUAAGUGUGUAUCAGCAAUCCAAGUGAACACUCCUUCAUCAGUGCUUCCAGCUCAGGGAGUGAGUUUUUUCACAGGAGGGUUUGCAUUGCUAUUAAAAAAAAAAAAAAAAAAAAAAAAAAAAAUCUGGUUUACAGUGGGAGCAGGCAUAUCUGAGGAAAGAAAUGCAUUGUUCUGAAAAUAGAAAUUGCUGCCAUUACACACUUGAUAUUGUAAUUACAAACAGAAAAUAGCUACAAAAGAAAAUGCUUUAAAAAAGCCAUGAUUUGAGCCCUGCCCUCUGCCUUAUGGAGAUCUCAUAGACCUUGGUAAUGCAUAUACUUUCCUUUCUGUCUGGAUACUUUCUAUUCCGGCAAGAAACCUGCACAUUCCUGUUCCAGAUCUGAGGAUUCAGCCAAAUAACUGAGUACUGUGCAUCAUUCAGAUUU
RNAcentral lists this long non-coding RNA (1042 nucleotides) under Buteo japonicus. RNAcentral's name for it is "lncRNA (ENSBJAG00000015711.1)". Lineage: Eukaryota; Metazoa; Chordata; Aves; Accipitriformes; Accipitridae. The record is from RNAcentral.